AUGUGCUGGGUUGUGCAGGGUUGUAUUGAAUUAAAUUAGUGCUUUUGUCCUACUGAGAGUAGGAUAGUGUUGGCCAAAAAAGGUAACAAUUCAAAAGCCUUCUUCAAGAAAAAAAUUACAAUUUGCUCUAAUUUACAUUUAGCAGUUUCCUUAUUGUAUUCAACUCCAAUCGAACGGUGCUUCUAAAUCACGGAUGAAAACCCCUUUAAUGAAAAAGAACUCUCCCGCUCUGCACACGCAACGCGACUUAAUCGUUUGAUAAAGUCGAAACCGGCACAGUACGGCACGCAAAAGAUGCCUGCAGUGUUGGACAGUGACGUCACUGAUUGAGUGUUUAAUGGAACGGGUUUGAUAGCAACGUUUCGAACGGUUUACUGAUAACGGCAACUGAGGCAAAAUCAUAGACAACAAAAAAAGUAGAGAAAAUUUUACACGAGCCUUUUCUGUGCGGAAAUCGAUGUAUUCUUUUAUCUGAACGAACAUUUUGUACAAAACGUGUCGUAAGCCUAUUUCUGGACGAUCCAUCGGUUUCGAUGGUAAGUUCAAGCUUGAGAGAGUCUUAUCUGGUCGCAGAAGACGCAUCAAAAUUUCGCUUCGAAUGUUAUUUUACAUCGAGUUGAAUUAGGAAGAUUUUAUUCUUAUCUUUCAGUUUGAGACAUUUUCCAGUCUUAGGGUUUUGCUUCACGUCAAACGUGUUUUUCGUAGUCCACUGUACGAUCAACGCACGAUGUCGAUCGUCCGAGAGCCGUCAUUUAAAAAAGGGCUUCUACCCUUUCCAACACAAAUUUCAACCCCCACCGGUUCAACACCUUUACCAGCUUUAUGCAACCUUCUUCUCUACCUUUCCUCUUCUCCGGCCCUUUCCACCCUUAAAGCCCUAUAAUAAAGGGCUCCAAAAAUUGGCGGCCUUCAUGCUCGUGGUGCACGUUGUUGGUCAGGGUUAAAUCGUUUCCCAGAAAAACCGACCCGAAAUGGAUCGUGCUGCGUGUUGUUUUUUGUUCGACCAUCACGCUCCCCACCGAAAACCUGUUUUACUGAAACUGCACCAUGUCUUCUUAUGUGGAGCAGCCCGGGCAUUGUUUUGAUUCGGUUGUUGGUUGUUGAUAUCGUCAACCAACUUAGCCCUCAAAAUGUUGAACCAUGCAUGAGAAGACACCGUGAGCAUCGGUGAUGAACGCUGCCCGGGCACCUUGGGGCUUACCUGUUGAUGUGGACUCACUCGCGUCGGGCGGAACUAGUUUCGUUCAGUUUGAGCCGGGCACAUCCAAAGGCUACCGGUGGGAACUCUCGCUGCAUCGCGCCAGUGCAGAUGGAGGCUUGUUACGUUGGAGGGUUCGGUUGAUCGGGUGUGCCUAUAUUGGAUGUAAUUAUCGACGUCUUCAAUGUCUGAGGGUGUAAGAUGCGAAAAGAUUACGCUCGAAGUGAGGCGGCUGAUAUCACGAUACGAUGUAUGAUGGAAGUGGUAAAUGGUGGGUUGUAUUUUUAGUACCGAGGUCUAGAAUGUCCAUCAGCUUGCGAUUUGCUUCGUCACCAUCUGUUUGGUUCGCAUACAUUAAAACGACUGCCAAACAGUUUGACAGUAGUACAUCUUCGUAGCGGUAAUGUUGAAAAAUUUGCUGUUGAGUUUAUUUUAGCUCUCAUCGCUCUCCAGGUUCAUCAUCCUUGAGUCCCAUAUUUCCGUCAUCGCGUGGGCGUAGGAGACAUCAAAACCAGAGCUCGAGCGAAUUACUACUCGGAGGGUAAUUAAACUUGCAAGACAGGGAUCGUACACCACGGCUUGUUUAUGAUACGAGCGAACGAUAUUGGUCAAGGAAAUGACCAAAGCUUGUGAAUGUUGUAUGUGUUAGAGUCGGUUACAUUGUCUUUAAAUAUCGCAAGCAUCUGAUUUGUACAUUGGAAAAGUGAAAAGUAAUCUGCUUUACAUACUAGUGCCACGCUACUCAUGAGCGCAGUAGUAAGUCUUCAGCUCUGCCAACGGCUAAACCGGACACGCACCGCACACAACACCUCGAGAUCGGCUUAAUGAAGCACGCAUGCGGACAAGCAUGAAUGGGAUAUAACCGGAUUGUACCAGCACAAUCUAUAGCAAUGCUGCGAAAAGCGCAAAAGGAUGGCCGCUGGCUCGGUACGUGAGGCGGUGUUUGCAUCCCACCAGAGCUGUUUGCUGUCCGUGCCGCAUCGAUCUCUACACCGUACCUCGCCGUACGGAGCACGAUGAAAGAUACCAGAACUACUGAACGGCGACUGUAUGCUAUACCGAUUUGUCGCUCAACCCUUUUUGUGGGUUUGAGUUUUUUUUUCCUCCAACAACACGUUUGGUGGGUGAAGAGAUUAAAUUUUAGAUGAAGAAAAGCUAAAUAAAUGUCUACCUAUCUUCGGUAA
Molecule: long non-coding RNA, 2382 nt
Organism: Anopheles coluzzii
Lineage: Eukaryota; Metazoa; Arthropoda; Insecta; Diptera; Culicidae
Exons: 2
Source: RefSeq, a predicted model, not a curated record